AACAGCGAUGGCUAUUCAUUUAAGUCUUCGGGUAGCACCACUAGAUCUUCAACAAGGUGGAAAUUCUCGUAUUCUGUAUGUACAUGUUCCUGCGGCUCGGAUGAGUAUUCUUGUUUAUAUCGCUACGGCUA
Non-coding RNA from Momordica charantia (bitter melon), 131 nucleotides. Lineage: Eukaryota; Viridiplantae; Streptophyta; Magnoliopsida; Cucurbitales; Cucurbitaceae. The record is from RefSeq and is a predicted model, not a curated record.